This 73-nucleotide transfer RNA is filed under the name Bos taurus (domestic cattle). It matches the Rfam family "tRNA". From Rfam's summary of the family: Transfer RNA (tRNA) molecules are approximately 80 nucleotides in length. The record is from Rfam by way of RNAcentral. Lineage: Eukaryota; Metazoa; Chordata; Mammalia; Artiodactyla; Bovidae. RNAcentral also lists the same sequence under 4 other names.
UCCCUGGUGGUCCAGUGGUUGGGACUCUGUGCUUCCAAUGCAGGGGUUAUAGGUACAAUUCCUGGUUGGGAAA